UAGGGAAUCUUCCACAAUGGGCGAAAGCCUGAUGGAGCAACGCCGCGUGAGUGAAGAAGGGUUUCGGCUCGUAAAACUCUGUUGUUAAAGAAGAACAUAUCUGAGAGUAACUGUUCAGGUAUUGACGGUAUUUAACCAGAAAGCCACGGCUAACUACGUGCCGG
Molecule: ribosomal RNA, 164 nt
Filed under: uncultured bacterium
Lineage: Bacteria
Description: partial 16S ribosomal RNA
Rfam family: Bacterial small subunit ribosomal RNA
Source: RNAcentral